UUGUAUCGGUCUUUUGGUAGAGG
This 23-nucleotide unclassified non-coding RNA is filed under the name Mus musculus (house mouse). RNAcentral describes it as "oocyte_clustered_small_RNA1972". The record is from RNAcentral. Lineage: Eukaryota; Metazoa; Chordata; Mammalia; Rodentia; Muridae.